This 236-nucleotide unclassified non-coding RNA is filed under the name Hevea brasiliensis (rubber tree). Lineage: Eukaryota; Viridiplantae; Streptophyta; Magnoliopsida; Malpighiales; Euphorbiaceae. The record is from RNAcentral.
CAACAGAUUCCAUGAUGUCCUGCACCUUAAUUCCCUCGCAAUAAAGAAACCCAUCUGAGGAUUUGGAGAAACAAUGGUGAAAUUGGGUCUGGGUUUUAGAGGGGUUUUGAGAAAGAACAGCUUUUAGGGAGAGGGGAGUUUUGGAGAAGGGUUUGUGAAGUCGAAAAGAAAUACGGGUAAAAGGGUUUGAAUUAAGAGAGUGUCUGAGGGUGCUGGGAAGGGAAGGUGAAGGAGAG